This 651-nucleotide ribosomal RNA is filed under the name uncultured bacterium. RNAcentral describes it as "bacterial SSU rRNA". It matches the Rfam family "Bacterial small subunit ribosomal RNA", at positions 61 to 719 of the family's 1533-position model. The record is from RNAcentral.
GUCGAGCGGGCUACGGUCUUCGGACUGUAGCUUAGCGGCGAACGGGUGAGUAACACGUAGGUAAUCUACCCUUCAGAGGAGGACAACCUCAGGAAACUGAGGCUAAACCUUCAUACGUUCACUGGUAGGGAUACUGGUGAAGAAAGAGUUACCUUAGUGGUAGCUGCUGAAGGAUGAGCCUGCGGCCCAUCAGGUAGUUGGUGAGGUAACGGCUCACCAAGCCGAAGACGGGUAACCGGUCUGAGAGGAUGUCCGGUCACACUGGGACUGAGACACGGCCCAGACUCCUACGGGAGGCAGCAGCAGGGAAUCUUGGGCAAUGGGCGAAAGCCUGACCCAGCGACGCCGCGUGGAGGAAGAAGUCCUUCGGGGCGUAAACUCCUGGACUGGGGGACGAGGAAGGACGGUACCCCAGUAGAAAGGGACGGCUAACUACGUGCCAGCAGCCGCGGUAAAACGUAGGUCCCGAGCGUUGUUCGGAUUCACUGGGUGUAAAGGGCGCGUAGGUGGUUGUCUGUGUCUCAUGUGAAAACUCAGGGCUCAACUCUGAGAUUGCGUGGGAAACUAGGCAGCUAGAGGACGGUAGAGGGGAGUGGAAUUCCCGGUGUAGCGGUAAAAUGCGUAGAUAUCGGGAGGAACACCGGUGGCGAA